UGGGGAGUAUUGGACAAUGGGGGAGGACCCUGAUCCAGCGACGCCGCGUGCAGGAAGAAGGUCUUCGGAUUGUAAACUGUUGUCGCAAGGGAAGAAGACAGUGACGGUACCUUGUGAGAAAGUCACGGCUAACUACGUGCCAGCAGCCGCGGUAAUACGUAGGUUGCAAGCGUUGUCCGGAUUUACUGGGUGUAAAGGGCGUGUAGGCGGAGAAGCAAGUUGGGAGUGAAAUCCAUGGGCUCAACCCAUGAACUGCUCUCAAAACUGUUUCCCUUGAGUAUCGGAGAGGCAAGCGGAAUUCCUAGUGUAGCGGUGAAAUGCGUAGAUAUAAGGAAGAACACCAGUGGCGAAGGCGGUCUACUGGACAGUAACUGACGCUGAGGCGCGAAAGCGUGGGGAGCGAACAGGAUUAGAUACC
This 418-nucleotide ribosomal RNA is filed under the name uncultured bacterium. RNAcentral describes it as "bacterial SSU rRNA". It matches the Rfam family "Bacterial small subunit ribosomal RNA", at positions 355 to 786 of the family's 1533-position model. The record is from RNAcentral.